This 435-nucleotide ribosomal RNA is filed under the name uncultured bacterium. Its description in RNAcentral is "partial 16S ribosomal RNA". It matches the Rfam family "Bacterial small subunit ribosomal RNA", at positions 29 to 507 of the family's 1533-position model. The record is from RNAcentral.
AACGAACGCUGGCGGCAUGCCUUACACAUGCAAGUCGAACGAUUGCCUUCGUGUUUUCGUCGCGCGCCGGUUCGUAACCCGUUGGAAUCUGCCCUUUGGCUUGUCCUAUCAGCUGGAAAAGGCUGCUAAUACCCGGUUUUAUCCCGCGUUCAAAGUAUUAUCGCCUGAGGAUGAGCCUGAGUGGGAUUAGGAAGUUGUUGGGGUAAAGGUCUACCACUCCUACGAUACAUAGCUGGUCUGAGAGGAUGAUCAGCCACACUGGUCCUGAGACACGGCCCAGACUCCUACGGGAGGCAGCAGUGGGGAAUAUUGGAAAGUGGGCGCAAGCAUGAUCCAGCAAUGCCGCGUGAGUGAUGAAGGCCCGAGGGUUGUAAAGCGCUUUUACACGGGAAGAGAAUGACUGUACCGGGAGAAUAAGCCCCGGCUAACUACGUG